GACGAACGCUGGCGGCGUGCCUAACACAUGCAAGUCGAACGGGGUAGAUUCCUUCGGGGAUCUACUUAGUGGCGAACGGGUGAGUAACGCGUGAGAAACCUGCCUCUCAGUGGGGGACAACAGUUGGAAACGACUGCUAAUACCGCAUAACACUUUAGUACCGCAUGGUACAGAAGUCAAAGCUUAAUGUGCUGAGAGAUGGUCUCGCGUCUGAUUAGCUAGAUGGCGGGGUAACGGCCCACCAUGGCGACGAUCAGUAGCCGGUCUGAGAGGAUGAACGGCCACAUUGGGACUGAGAUACGGCCCAGACUCCUACGGGAGGCAGCAGUGGGGAAUAUUGGGCAAUGGGGGAAACCCUGACCCAGCAACGUCCGCGUCGAAGGAAGAA
RNAcentral lists this ribosomal RNA (388 nucleotides) under uncultured bacterium. RNAcentral's name for it is "bacterial SSU rRNA". It matches the Rfam family "Bacterial small subunit ribosomal RNA", at positions 28 to 412 of the family's 1533-position model. The record is from RNAcentral.